Molecule: ribosomal RNA, 200 nt
Filed under: Mycolicibacterium vaccae ATCC 25954
Lineage: Bacteria; Bacillati; Actinomycetota; Actinomycetes; Mycobacteriales; Mycobacteriaceae
Description: partial 16S ribosomal RNA
Rfam family: Bacterial small subunit ribosomal RNA
Source: RNAcentral
UUUUGUUUGGAGAGUUUGAUUCUGGCUCAGGACGAACGCUGGCGGCGUGCUUAACACAUGCAAGUCGAACGGAAAGGCCCUUCGGGGUACUCGAGUGGCGAACGGGUGAGUAACACGUGGGUGAUCUGCCCUGCACUUUGGGAUAAGCCUGGGAAACUGGGUCUAAUACCGAAUACACCCUUCUGGCUGCAUGGUCUGGG